This 100-nucleotide non-coding RNA is filed under the name Bacillus testis. Its description in RNAcentral is "SAM riboswitch (S box leader)". It matches the Rfam family "SAM riboswitch aptamer (S box leader)". From Rfam's summary of the family: The SAM riboswitch is found upstream of a number of genes which code for proteins involved in methionine or cysteine biosynthesis in Gram-positive bacteria. The SAM riboswitch acts at the level of transcription termination control. The predicted structure consists of a complex stem-loop region followed by a single stem loop terminator region. Lineage: Bacteria; Bacillati; Bacillota; Bacilli; Caryophanales; Bacillaceae. The record is from RNAcentral.
UCUUAUCUAGAGGAGUCGAGGGAUAUGGCCCUGUGACGCUCCGGCAACCAUCAAAUAUUGAACGGUGCCAAUGCCAUAGGAAUUUAUUCUAGUCGAUGAG